RNAcentral lists this ribosomal RNA (630 nucleotides) under Geosmithia pallida. RNAcentral's name for it is "eukaryotic LSU rRNA". It matches the Rfam family "Eukaryotic large subunit ribosomal RNA", at positions 1 to 659 of the family's 3401-position model. Lineage: Eukaryota; Fungi; Ascomycota; Sordariomycetes; Hypocreales; Bionectriaceae. The record is from RNAcentral.
ACCUCGGAUCAGGUAGGAAUACCCGCUGAACUUAAGCAUAUCAAUAAGCGGAGGAAAAGAAACCAACAGGGAUUGCCUCAGUAACGGCGAGUGAAGCGGCAACAGCUCAAAUUUGAAAUCUGGCCCCCAGGCCCGAGUUGUAAUUUGUAGAGGAUGCUUCUGGCGACGCGACUUCCGAGUUCCCUGGAACGGGACGCCAAAGAGGGUGAGAGCCCCGUCCGGUCGUUCGCCUAGCCUCUGUGAAGCUCCUUCGACGAGUCGAGUAGUUUGGGAAUGCUGCUCUAAAUGGGAGGUAUACGUCUUCUAAAGCUAAAUACCGGCCAGAGACCGAUAGCGCACAAGUAGAGUGAUCGAAAGAUGAAAAGCACUUUGAAAAGAGGGUUAAAUAGUACGUGAAAUUGCUGAAAGGGAAGCGCUUAUGACCAGACUUGGGCCAGGUGAAUCAUCCGGCGUUCUCGCCGGUGCACUUUGCCUGCCCAGGCCAGCAUCAGUUCGCUUCGGGGGAUAAAGGCUUCGGGAAUGUAGCUCCUCCGGGAGUGUUAUAGACCGUUGCGUAAUACCCUGGGGUGGACUGAGGUACGCGUUCUGCAAGGAUGCUGGCGUAAUGGUCAUCAGUGACCCGUCUUGAAC